GGGGACGUUUUGGAUUUGACAGGGCGUUUUGGUGAAGGUGUAUUGCGUGUCGGAGAGCUGUUCUCCGUUAUCAACGGGCAAAUUAAAUUAAAUGCUAACAAUGUAAUUGAAGCAGACUUCGCUCCUAGAGCAUAUGCAGUUGCUGCAUAGUAGUUUGCGAUUUAGCUACUCAUAGAGCCCAGCUUGCCGGUUUUAUGGGUCCAUUAUGCAAGCGGCAGUGCGCCGAUGCAAAGUGAGCGCAUUAAGACAACUUUGCAAGGUUUAGAGUUUCCUUUAAAUAAAACCUAGGGUUGACUUGUCGGGUUUAGACAUUUUCCUGAGUCAAUUGAGCUAAAAAUAGUCUACACACGUAGAAGUAUAUCUUUAUCCGUUUUGGACAGGGGUUCGAAUCCCCUCGUCUCCACCA
Molecule: transfer-messenger RNA, 406 nt
Filed under: Candidatus Gastranaerophilaceae
Lineage: Bacteria; Bacillati; Candidatus Melainabacteria; Candidatus Gastranaerophilales
Also listed under: 1 other name
Description: UBA2813 sp902801985 Standard tmRNA
Rfam family: transfer-messenger RNA
About the family: Bacterial tmRNA, also known as 10Sa RNA or SsrA, is named for its dual tRNA and mRNA-like properties. Its role is to liberate the mRNA from a stalled ribosome. To accomplish this part of the tmRNA is used as a reading frame that ends in a translation stop signal.
Source: RNAcentral